Long non-coding RNA from Acromyrmex echinatior (Panamanian leafcutter ant), 1018 nucleotides. Lineage: Eukaryota; Metazoa; Arthropoda; Insecta; Hymenoptera; Formicidae. The record is from RefSeq and is a predicted model, not a curated record.
UGCAAAUGAACUUGAAAAUAAUUAAAGUUGCAGCAUCAAAGAUUGUAGGCGAUAUCUUACCUAUGAGAUUUUAUCUCGUCACAUGUCGAGGAAAAUUUCGUUUCAUCUUUUUUGAAAAAAAGUAUAAAAAAUUGGGCGAUUGGAGUCUUGAUAUGGUGAUGAAAUAUCAUCAUAGAUCUGUUCUUCGUAACUGCAUGUUCUGUGUAUUUAAAAAAAUGAGGGAGACAAAAAGCAAAGAAGCAAAAACAAGCAUCCGAGAAUCAGUAAAGAAAUUUUAUUGGAGAUACACGAAGACGAGUACGAGUCCAGUAUUACGUAAGAAUAAUACUGACAAUUCGUGAAUACUCAUGCCUCAAGCGAUAUAUAGACAUCGUGGAAUACAUUAAUUGUGAUGCGCUCAAGCUAAAUUAUAUCGUCGCAAUUUGUGAAUUAUGAUUUAUGCGCUGACCUACAGUUUAAUUCCGCAUCAAGAGAUAGAAUAGGAAAGAAUUGUAUGUAAUUAAUAGAAAUUUAUUAAUUGAAUUGCUUUUAUAUUUAUGAAUCACUAAGUAAUGCUCACAAAGUAUAAGAAAAUAAAUAAAUACAGUUUUCAAAGUAUUUACGCGAUAUUAGACUCUGAAAGACCCGACGGUGGUCAGAUACCGAGUGUCUUGGCGGCUUUGGUCCAUUCUUAUCUUAACUAAGCAUUAAGAAUUCGUUCAAAAAAAAAAUAUAUAUAUACUUAUAAUUAAUUCUUAAAUAAGGUGGAGUUAGAAUUAACAGAACGAAUUGUUGAUAUUUCAAGAUUUAUCCUCUCUUGUUUUUUUUUCUUUCGUUGUUCUUUAUAUAUGUAUAUAAUGCAUUCCUAUAUAUAAAUGCAAAUAUAUUUAAAAUUUGAGAGGAUCACAAGCAAAUAUUUGUGACAAAGCAUUGAACUGUUUUAAGAGAAACACUUAUGAAAGGGAAAUAGGAGGAAAGUAUACAUUUUAAAUUUUAUUAGAGAGAUUAAAUAGGUAUGUUAACGUUAGCAUCUUGGAUU